CUGCUCGCUCUGGCAGCACAUAUACGAAAAUGGAAACGAUACAGAGAAGAUUAGCAUGGCCUCUGCACAAAGAUGACACGCAAAUUCGUGAAGUGUUCCAUAUAUUG
This 107-nucleotide small nuclear RNA is filed under the name Physeter macrocephalus (sperm whale). Lineage: Eukaryota; Metazoa; Chordata; Mammalia; Artiodactyla; Physeteridae. The record is from RNAcentral.